Long non-coding RNA from Danio rerio (zebrafish), 3462 nucleotides. Lineage: Eukaryota; Metazoa; Chordata; Actinopteri; Cypriniformes; Danionidae. The record is from Ensembl.
AACAAUCUGGGUGGUACAAUACAUUUCUUUGGGGCUUUUCCCUAUCGUAACUCUUCCGGAUGUGAAAAAGACAGUGAAGAUAGACUCAUCAGAGAACAAUACAAGAUUUGGCACCUACUUGAUAUGCAGCCCUGUGUUACAUCUGUUGUAAACACUCCUAUUCCUGUAAUGAUUGCCAGAUUGAACUUCAUGUUGAUCUUCUCUUUCUUCCAGCCGGAUAAUAUCCUCUUUCCCCCCUCCGUGUCCUUCCGCAAGUUCAGCAACCCAGAGGUUUCUUCUCUUGGCUCCAGUUUAGCACUGAAAUUCAAAAGACAACUCAGUGAAGAUGGCAGACAGCACCGGAGGGGAAGUCUAGGGGGCGCUCUUACAGGGAAAUACCUGUUGCCAUAUGCCCAGCAGUCAUGGUCAGCCUCAAGCUCGGAGACCACCAACCUUGUGCGCAUGCGCUCGCAGACCUUGGGAAAAUCUGCACCUUCUCUCACAGCCAGCCUGAAAGAGCUCAGCCUGCCUAGACGAGGAAGUCUCUGCAGAACCAGCAACAGAAAAAGUCUAAUAGGUAGUGGACAGUCAUCAGCCCUUCCUCGACCACACUCACCUCUGUCAUCACACACAGGCACCAGUCCACAAGACAGCCCUAGAAACUUCUCCCCUAGUGCUUCAGCACAUUUUUCCUUCACACGCAGAACUGAUGGGCGACGCUGGUCCUUGGCAUCUCUUCCCUCUUCUGGCUAUGGAACAAACACACCCAGCUCUACAGUCUCUUCGUCCUGUUCAUCACAGGAGAAGCUCCAUCAGCUGCCUUUCCAGCCCACACCAGAUGAGCUGCACUUCCUGUCCAAGCAUUUCUACACAGAGAGCAUUUCUGGAGAUGACCACAGAAGAGUCACUCCUAUGCGGCCACGGUCUCGCAGUCUCAGUCCUGGAAGAUCCCCAUCAUGCUGUGACCAUGAGAUUAUCAUGAUGAACCAUGUGUACAAAGAAAGAUUUCCCAAGGCCACAGCUCAGAUGGAGGAGCGCAUCAAGGAGAUCAUUCAAAGCAACUCCCCUGAGAACGUCUUGCCUCUGGCUGAUGGUGUCCUCAGCUUCGCACACCAUCAGAUCAUUGAACUGGCCAGAGACUGCCUGGAAAAGUCCCGCCUUGGCCUCAUUACCUCACGUUACUUUUGUGAGCUCACAGAUAAACUGGAAAGGCUCUUUCAUGAGUCGACUGAGCGAUCGGAGAGUGCAGAGGUGACCUUCAUUAAGGAGCUAGUGAAGAAGAUUCUCAUUGUCAUCGCCAGGCCUGCGCGACUGCUUGAAUGUUUGGAGUUUGACCCAGAAGAGUUCUAUCAUCUCCUGGAGGCUGCAGAGGGUCAUGCCAAAGAGGGCCAAGGCAUCAAGACAGACAUCCCACGAUACAUUAUCAGCCAACUUGGCCUGACAAGGGACCCACUUGAGGAAAUUGCCCAGUUAACUAGUUAUGACAGUGGGAUUGCAGAAACACCUGAGACGGAUGAAUCUGUCAGUGUAACAUUACGGUCCCGGCGCAAGCCCUGUGAACUCGACUUUGAGAUGAUUAAACUGAUCAGCAAUGGAGCUUAUGGUGCAGUGUAUUUAGUGAGACACAAAGAGACAAAACAGCGCUUUGCCAUGAAGAAGAUUAACAAGCAAAACCUGAUGCUGAGGAAUCAGAUCCAGCAGGCCUUUGUAGAGAGAGACAUCCUAACGUUUGCAGAGAACCCUUUUGUGGUCAGCAUGUACUGCUCCUUUGAGACCCGCAGACAUCUCUGCAUGGUUAUGGAAUACGUUGAAGGAGGGGACUGUGCUACUUUGCUGAAGAACAUGGGUCCUCUCCCUGUGGACAUGGCCAGAAUGUACUUUGCAGAGACUGUGUUAGCCCUGGAAUAUCUCCACAACUAUGGAAUUGUCCAUCGAGAUCUCAAACCAGACAAUUUGUUAGUCACUUCAAUGGGACACAUCAAGCUGACAGACUUUGGCCUAUCGAAAGUGGGGCUGAUGAACAUGACCACUAACCUCUACGAGGGUCACAUUGAGAAAGACGCAAGAGAGUUCUCUGAUAAACAGGUGUGCGGAACUCCUGAGUACAUUGCUCCUGAAGUGAUCCUGAGGCAAGGCUAUGGAAAGCCAGUAGACUGGUGGGCAAUGGGAAUCAUCCUUUAUGAGUUUUUGGUGGGCUGUGUACCGUUCUUUGGAGACACUCCAGAAGAACUGUUUGGCCAAGUCAUCAGCGAUGAAAUAAACUGGCCUGAGGGAGAGGAAGCGCCACCAGCUGAUGCUCAGGAGCUGAUCACUCUGCUGCUCAGACAGAACCCUAUGGAGCGCCUUGGCACUGGAGGAGCGUAUGAGGUGAAGCACCAUCAGUUCUUUCACAGUCUGGACUGGAACAGCCUGCUGAGGCAGAAGGCAGAGUUCAUCCCCCAGCUGGAGUCUGAAGAUGACACCAGCUACUUUGACACACGAUCUGAUAGGUACCAUCACUUAGAAACGGAGGAAGAGGACGAUACCAAUGAUGAAGAUUUCAAUGUGGAGCUGCGGCAGUUUUCUUCAUCCUCUCACCGAUUUUCCAAAGUUUACAGUAGCCUGGAUCUAUCUCGAGGACAGCUGGAGGAGAAAGGAGAGCAGACCGAGAAGACAACAGAUAGUCCUCUUACUGUUGACUCGCUGAGCUGGACUCCAGACUUCACUGAAAUACCCUCUCUGUCUCAUUCCUCUGACAAUGAGAGCACUAGCUUAAGCAGAUGUUCUGGUCUUCUACCCAAGUUUGCCAUCUCAGCAGAAGUGGAGGAUGGUGACGGCUCCCUGGCUCUGGAAGACCCCAGUAAAGUGACCUUCAGUAUUGGGGAGCUGCCUCAGGAUGAGCCUGAUCCCAGCACACCCUGUAGCACCAUCAGUAACUCUACCCUCUCAGAUGUUUUUGGUGUGUCACCAUUAGCAAGCCCCAUUUCUCCAUACUCACUAUCAUCAGACCCAUCCUCCAGAGACUCCUCUCCCAGUAGAGACUCAUCCUUAAGUGGUGUCAGUUCCCGUCAGCCAAUCAUUAUCCACAGCUCAGGGAAGAAGUUUGGCUUUACUCUGCGAGCCAUCCGGGUCUACGCCUGUGACAGUGAUGUUUAUACUGUUUACCACAUGGUCUGGAAUGUGGAGGAUGGUGGACCUGCUCACAAGGCUGGUCUUAAGGCUGGAGAUCUAAUAACUCAUGUGAAUGGAGAAACAGUUCAUGGGUUACUUCACACAGAAGUGGUGGAGCUGUUGCUGAAGAGUGGAAGUAAAGUUGCAAUAUCUACAACCCCAUUUGAAAACACUUCUAUCAAAACUGGGCCAGCUAGAAGAAACAGCUACAGAAGUAAAAUGGUGAGAAGAACCAAAAAACCCAAGAAAGAGAAAACUCAAGAAAGAGCAAGCAGAAAAGAAGAGAAAGGAAUCUACUCAAGAGAUAUCUUCUGCACCAAAAACCAACCGUAA